GCAGUCGAACGGCAGCACGGACUUCGGUCUGGUGGCGAGUGGCGAACGGGUGAGUAAUGUAUCGGAACGUGCCCAGUAGCGGGGGAUAACUACGCGAAAGCGUAGCUAAUACCGCAUACGCCCUACGGGGGAAAGCAGGGGAUCGCAAGACCUUGCACUAUUGGAGCGGCCGAUAUCGGAUUAGCUAGUUGGUGGGGUAACGGCUCACCAAGGCGACGAUCCGUAGCUGGUUUGAGAGGACGACCAGCCACACUGGGACUGAGACACGGCCCAGACUCCUACGGGAGGCAGCAGUGGGGAAUUUUGGACAAUGGGGGAAACCCUGAUCCAGCCAUCCCGCGUGUGCGAUGAAGGCCUUCGGGUUGUAAAGCACUUUUGGCAGGAAAGAAACGUCGCGGGUUAAUACCCCGCGAAACUGACGGUACCUGCAGAAUAAGCACCGGCUAACUACGUGCCAGCAGCCGCGGUAAUACGUAGGGUGCAAGCGUUAAUCGGAAUUACUGGGCGUAAAGCGUGCGCAGGCGGUUCGGAAAGAAAGAUGUGAAAUCCCAGAGCUUAACUUUGGAACUGCAUUUUUAACUACCGGGCUAGAGUGUGUCAGAGGGAGGUGGAAUUCCGCGUGUAGCAGUGAAAUGCGUAGAUAUGCGGAGGAACACCGAUGGCGAAGGCAGCCUCCUGGGAUAACACUGACGCUCAUGCACG
Molecule: ribosomal RNA, 702 nt
Filed under: bacterium StP9-27F
Lineage: Bacteria
Description: bacterial SSU rRNA
Rfam family: Bacterial small subunit ribosomal RNA
Source: RNAcentral